Molecule: ribosomal RNA, 405 nt
Filed under: uncultured bacterium
Lineage: Bacteria
Description: bacterial SSU rRNA
Rfam family: Bacterial small subunit ribosomal RNA
Source: RNAcentral
CAGUGGGGAAUUUUGCGCAAUGGGCGAAAGUUUGACGCAGCAACGCCGCGUGCGGGAUGAAGGCUUUCGGGUUGUAAACCGCUUUCAGCAGGGAUGAAAUUGACAGUACCUGCAGAAGAAGCCCCGGCUAACUACGUGCCAGCAGCCGCGGUAAUACGUAGGGGGCGAGCGUUAUCCGGAUUCAUUGGGCGUAAAGAGCGCGUAGGCGGCUUAGCAAGUUGGAUGUGAAAGCCCUCGGCUUAACCAAGGAAGUGCAUCCAAAACUGCUGAGCUUGAGUAGUUAAGAGGAUCGCGGAAUUCCCGAUGUAAAGGUGAAAUUCGUAGAGAUGUGGAGGAACACCAGUGGCGAAGGCGACUCUCUGGUCUGUAACUGACGCUGAGGAGCGAAAGCGUGGGGAGCGAACA